UUUGUCCUGUUUGCUCUUGUUCUAUAGUGUUUGUCCUGUUUGCUCUUGUUCUAUGGUGUUUGUCCUGUUUGCUCUUGUUCUAUGGUGUUUGUUCUGUCCUGUGUGGUUCAGUGAACUGUGGGAGGCCUGAUGUGGACUAUAACGGGAUGGUGUACGGGAACGACUGGUGGGUGGGCUCAGUUGUCCGGUAUGCCUGUCGCUCUGGCUUCCUAUUGGUGGGGGACCCUGCCCGAGCCUGCCAGUCCAAUGGAGGCUGGACCCCCAAACCCUCCUGUCUCAGGGUGUGUCAUCAGGGCCGCGUGGAGAUCACUGAGAAGGAGCUAGAAACAGCUACCUGCUCCUCCACCUGUCCCCUUAAGUCCUACAUGGGGCCUCUUAAGCAGGGCUGCUACGGCAUCGACAACUGCAGGAAGAUGAAUCCUGACUGGAAGCGCUGGUUCACCCGCUGUGACACGUGCCUGUGUGAUUGCCACAUCGCCUGUGCCAUUGGUUGGACUGUCUGUAUUGCUUAAGACUUACCCAGACGUAGAUGGUUGUCCAAAGUCAAAGAAUGGAAUAGUGUUGUACAUACUGGGAGAACAGAAGAAUAAGAGAUGAUUCAUAAGCACUGUUUUAGACCCGCAAGAACCUGCAUCCACUCUGACACUAGCUCCCAGGAGGUCUGAUUGGCCUCAUUUCCAGCCACUCAAUUCACACGCUUCCAGGGGCAGCCCAAAGUCUGGUCAUGGUCUGGGUCCUCCAGUCUCCUCAUGGGCCCCAAUAGUACUCCCCCUUCCACCACCGAGCUGGAGUAGACCUGACCAACCAAUUCUCCAUUGGACAAGCUCACUCUCACACAGACAGCCUGAUAGGCACUGCCACCCUCACUGGACCUACAAGAUGCAACAAGAACCCAAGAUAAUGAAGGCUUAUUAUGACCCUUCAAGUGGGUAUGUACUCUUUAGUGUUCAAUAUGAAACCAUGAUAACCGUAAAUUAAAAGACAUGUAAUAGCAUUAUGUAGUAUUAGUGACAGUUUAAUGUGUACGCUGACAUUUACUUUCAUAUUCAAUCAACCGACAUGAGCGAUACUGUUUGCAGGACAUGACCUACAGCAACACAAUAUAUAGAUGUGAAUGUGGCACUAUAGCUGUAAUAUGUCAGAGCACCCAAUAAAUAUAAUUGGAACUCACCUCCCUGUGCGAGUGUCCCCAGUAUCAACAGCUGCAGAAGAGCCACAGAGAGGAGAGUUGUAAGUCCUGGUGCCAUUAUGAUGAUACUACCUGCGUCUCAAAUCCAGAUGUCUCUUGCUUUGUCACACACACACACACAAGAGCACUUCUUCAACUGUACCUGACUCCAGUGAUCCCCGUUUGAGCACAUUCCAGCCCCAUGUUGCCAUAGUUUAUGUUUCUUAUUUAUCUAUUCAGCAAAAGGCAUUGUGGAAUAAGGUCAACACGCUCUUUAAGAACUCACGCGUAUGACAAAUCAAGACUCCUAAGAAAAUAGCUUUUCUUUCAAAUGUUCCCUUUUGCUCCAUUUAAGAACUUUUUUCACAAGGCCAUUCUUCAAGCAUAUUGUGAAUAGAAAGUGAUGUUAGCUUGUCAUUGAUAUAAUAAAGCAGAAAUCUGCAUUGACGUUGAGUAAUGAUCUAUCUUCGCCCUCUGAU
Long non-coding RNA from Oncorhynchus tshawytscha (Chinook salmon), 1647 nucleotides. NCBI's taxonomy places the organism in Eukaryota, Metazoa, Chordata, Actinopteri, Salmoniformes, Salmonidae. The record is from Ensembl.